UGUGAUGUCUGAGUAAAUUUUCUCUCAGGCCAUAAUCCUGUCACCUUAGGUCGAUCGGUACCUCAGAUGAAUUACUAAUAGGCAACAGUUUUCUGUAGUUAAUUAGUUAUCAAUUUCAGUUCCUAAACUUGUCUAGGUCACACCCAACAAGGGUACUCCUGGGCCAUUAGCUCAGGUGGUUAGAGCGCACCCCUGAUAAGGGUGAGGUCCCUGGUUCAAGUCCAGGAUGGCCCAUUCGUCGUUGGGGGUAUAGCUCAGUUGGUAGAGCGCCUGCUUUGCAAGCAGGAUGUCAGCGGUUCGAGUCCGCUUACCUCCACUGGUCAACCCCUUACAGCGAUAAAGUUGAGGCCCUUUGUGAAAUGUGAUUUAGUUUUUAAUUCGCUAAUUGAACCUAGCCUCUUUUCAUUUCGUUUUUGAUGAUUGAAAAGAUGCUGGGCUCACUUCAAUUUUGAAAGAAAUUGAAGAGAACUUCAGUAGAACCUUGACAACUGCAUAGUGAGUCUGGAAAAGAAAAAGCAUCUCAUGGAUGCAUUGAUUUUGAAUUUCUUUUUUUGGAAGAACUAAAAUCAAUGUUUUUCUAUUGAGUAAGAGCUGAGAUUUUUGGCUUAAUUUUUCACCUUUGAAUUCAUUCAAAGGUGUUUCAAGUCAA
RNAcentral lists this transfer RNA (649 nucleotides) under uncultured Prochlorococcus sp. Its description in RNAcentral is "partial 16S-23S ribosomal RNA intergenic spacer". The stretch from base 244 to 316 matches the Rfam family "tRNA". Lineage: Bacteria; Bacillati; Cyanobacteriota; Cyanophyceae; Synechococcales; Prochlorococcaceae. The record is from RNAcentral.